This 815-nucleotide ribosomal RNA is filed under the name Penicillium fuscum. RNAcentral describes it as "LSU rRNA". It matches the Rfam family "Eukaryotic large subunit ribosomal RNA", at positions 104 to 939 of the family's 3401-position model. Lineage: Eukaryota; Fungi; Ascomycota; Eurotiomycetes; Eurotiales; Aspergillaceae. The record is from RNAcentral.
GAAGCUCAAAUUUGAAAGCUGGCUCCUUCGGGGUCCGCAUUGUAAUUUGCAGAGGAUGCUUCGGGAGCAGCCCCCAUCUAAGUGCCCUGGAACGGGCCGUCAUAGAGGGUGAAAAUCCCGUAUGGGAUGGGGUGUCUGCGCCCAUGUGAAGCUCCUUCGACGAGUCGAGUUGUUUGGGAAUGCAGCUCUAAAUGGGUGGUAAAUUUCAUCUAAAGCUAAAUAUUGGCCGGAGACCGAUAGCGCACAAGUAGAGUGAUCGAAAGAUGAAAAGCACUUUGAAAAGAGAGUUAAAAAGCACGUGAAAUUGUUGAAAGGGAAGCGCUUGCGAUCAGACUCGCCUUGGGGGUUCAGCCGGCAUUCGUGCCGGUGUACUUCCCCCAGGGCGGGCCAGCGUCGGUUUGGGUGGCCGGUCAAAGGCCCUUGGAAUGUAACGCCUCUCGGGGCGUCUUAUAGCCAAGGGUGCCAUGCGGCCUACCUGGACCGAGGAACGCGCUUCGGCUCGGACGCUGGCAUAAUGGUCGUAAGCGACCCGUCUUGAAACACGGACCAAGGAGUCUAACAUCUACGCGAGUGUUCGGGUGUCAAACCCGUGCGCGCAGUGAAAGCGAACGGAGGUGGGAACCCUUUGGGUGCACCAUCGACCGAUCCUGAUGUCUUCGGAUGGAUUUGAGUAAGAGCGUAGCUGUUGGGACCCGAAAGAUGGUGAACUAUGCCUGAAUAGGGCGAAGCCAGAGGAAACUCUGGUGGAGGCUCGCAGCGGUUCUGACGUGCAAAUCGAUCGUCGAAUUUGGGUAUAGGGCGAAAGACUAAUCGAA